Non-coding RNA from Paramuricea clavata, 844 nucleotides. The record is from the annotation of a GenBank genome assembly. NCBI's taxonomy places the organism in Eukaryota, Metazoa, Cnidaria, Anthozoa, Malacalcyonacea, Plexauridae.
AUGGGUGAUGUUGGAUGAUAUUGGAUGAUGUUGCAUUGGGUUUGGCGUUGUUAUAAUAUUUUUAUGCAGCAUUGUCCAACAAUGGUUGGAUCAACAAUGUUGGACGAUAUUGCACUCAUUAGAACGGGGCGUAUAAAACUUAUAUACAGUAUAACUACAUAAUUUGUAAUAGUCGUGCUAGAGAAAGCUAAUUCUUUGUUUAGACAUUUAUUUUCAUGCAGGGGGUUUGUGUGACGUCACAUGCUUAUACCUAUGAUAACAUUAUGAUUUUAAUGAGUUUCGUGUUCACUUCAGAAAACUUCGGAAAUUGCAGACAGAAACAACCAAUUUUCAGGUUCAAAUUAUUAAUCUUUUAAAAAUAGAUUAGUAUAAAUCUUUCCUGCCCGAUUAGAUAUAUUAAUUUAGAUUCGUUUCUAAAACAAUUAAUUAUUCUUAAAUGCACAGUAAAUGCGCCACUGUUUAUGUAAUCAUGCCGACAGAAAAGUACUUCAAAGUUCACCUAUUUACACACACUUCAUUGACAUGACAUGCAGGAAUGGGUGUUUGUCGAAAAGCCAGCACCUGCUGAUAAAUUAAGGAAAUAAAGUGUAAAACUCUAGAACUGAAAAUUGAAAACAUCUUGUAACGAGACGUAAGUUUAGAUGGUCAUAUUAAACAUAUGUCAAUCCUACAGUAUUGAUAUAUUAUAGCAUUUUGAUUGGGAAUAACAGGCAGCCCCACCUGUGGCCGGGAGAAAUCAUUCAUGAUAUUUGCACAAUAGAUUUUGCUACUUUUAAAUAUAUUAUAAAUAUGGAGUACAUGCUUUGCUUUGUAAACGGUUUGGUGUCUGAAUCUGAGAUUAAUU